GGCACUUGAUUCCUUUGUUGCUUGGGAAUUGGAGUUCCCUCUAGUUGCUGUUAAGAAAGCAUUGAAGACUCUUGAGAAUGAACAGGAAUGGAAGAGGAUAAUUCAGGUAAUAAAGUGGAUGCUGAGCAAAGGCCAAGGACAGACAAUGGGAACAUACUUCACGUUACUCAAUGCUUUAGCAGAGGAUGGGAGGCUUGAUGAAGCUGAAGAGCUUUGGACAAAAUUAUUUUCAGACAACUUAGAAAGCAUGCCGCGCAUUUUCUUUAAUAAAAUGAUUGCUAUUUAUUACAAGAGGGAUAUGCAUGAGAAGAUGUUCGAGGUAUUUGGAGCUGCCAUCUCUUUCUAAGCUCUGUUGUUUUCAACUGUAAAUGAAGCCUUUGCUUCUUUAGUUAAUUUUUCAACAAUGCAAGUAUGCAACUGUCUGUCUCUGGCAUUCGAGUCAUGGAAGAUGAAUAAUGAUUUUUGUUUACCAAAACACUUGUGGCUAUAGUUUUCUGUUAGAGCUGAGGUCUGGAAGAUAGAUACUACAUCAGACACGUCAUGAUUUUGUGUCAUCUAUUGCACAGUUGGACUAUCUGUUGCAGAUUAUGAUGAGUUGAUCCGCUGACAUUGGUUUUGAUGAUCACUUUUAUUGAGAAAUUUUAACAAUUUGAUAGAAGAUCCAAUUUUAUAUGGCAUUCUUAUCUCCCUACUCCUGAUACCUCACUUGGUUAAGUUCUACGCUAUAGAAGCAAUUAUACUCAUGAUUGAACUUAAUGGCAUCCCAGUUUCAAAAUAGAUGUAUUCUAGGAUUAUCUGGUUAUCGAAGCAAUUUGUUGGAUUCUUUUGGUGAAAUCUUGGUAAUGCUGCUGUGUGAAUUAGCCAAUCGUGAGAAUUCAUCGUCUUACAAAUUCUCAUGAAACAGUUGCUAUGUUUUCAAAUAUCGUUUUAUUCCUUUGCUAUAUGUUUCCCUGUUUUAUUACUUUUUCAGUUUUUUUUCUUUCCUCGCCAAGAUUGGAUUUUCAACUUCAACUGUCAUGCAAAUUCUUUGAUCCUUGUUUUCAUUUAAAAUCAAAUUUAUGUGUUCUGAACUGAUUCUAGUUCAGGUUGCAUGGUGCAGCCUGCCCUGUUUCCAGUUAACUAACUUUGUGGUUUACUCUUGCAUAGAUAUUUGCUG
Molecule: unclassified non-coding RNA, 1156 nt
Filed under: Hevea brasiliensis (rubber tree)
Lineage: Eukaryota; Viridiplantae; Streptophyta; Magnoliopsida; Malpighiales; Euphorbiaceae
Source: RNAcentral